RNAcentral lists this ribosomal RNA (203 nucleotides) under uncultured bacterium. RNAcentral describes it as "partial 16S ribosomal RNA". It matches the Rfam family "Bacterial small subunit ribosomal RNA", at positions 1298 to 1500 of the family's 1533-position model. The record is from RNAcentral.
UCGCAGUCUGCAACUCGACUGCGUGAAGUCGGAAUCGCUAGUAAUCGCGGAUCAGCAUGCCGCGGUGAAUACGUUCCCGGGCCUUGUACACACCGCCCGUCACACCAUGAGAGUCGGGAACACCCGAAGCCCGUAGCCUAACAGCAAUGAGGGCGCGGUCGAAGGUGGGUUCGAUAAUUGGGGUGAAGUCGUAACAAGGUAAC